CUAGUUACAUAUAAAUAGUUGCCUUUUCAUGUCUACAGGUAGAAUUAAAAUUGCUUCCUAUGCUAAUAUAUUUGGUUUAUUAAGAUGAAUAACUCCUUCCUUUUACAGAAAGAUAGGUCCAUAGUGAUUAGUCACUUUCCUCCUUGCUGAGACACGAUACCUGACAACUCGCCACGUAAAGGAGGAGAGAGAUUUUGGCUUCCAGUUUCAGAAGUUUUAGUCCCUCAUUGGAAGACUCUGAUGCAGAAAUGGCAUCACGGAAGGGCCUGCCGCAGGGGAGAGCUGCUCCUAUCCUGUGGGCCAGGAGGCAGAAGGGAGGGAGAUUCUCCCACAUCACACCCGGGGACCUGCCUCUGCUGCACAGACCCUCCUCGGAAUAGCAGAAAACACUGUCCAAGGAUACCUGGCAGAAAUUAUGGAAUCACAUUUUUCAGAGAUACUUCAUCUUGGAGGUAGAAGACUGCUAACUCUGAGGAGCCAAAACAUCUUGAAGAUGAGAUGUUUUGCUAAUUCGCACAGAGAUGGCCCUUAAGGCGAAAACAAGGAAGCUCCUGGGGAAAAUCAGGUAAGUUAAUUAUUCAGCCAAACUGUCACCCUGCCUUGCUUGCCUGCCUUGCUACCUAAAACAAACCUCUGUGCUCAGCAGAACUCUGUGCCUUUGUUAUUCCUCAGUAAAUCUGAGGGUUUCACUCAUUUCAGACAUUCACUCCUUUGUGGUAAAGUCACCUGGACUCCCAACAAAGGUAUUCUCGGUCUCUCAUGUUUUUCAUUCAUCUAUCUAUCAGGGUGUGCUGGCCCCAACCCAGCUGUGCACUGAAUGGCUUAGCACAGUUCUGGGGGUGGAUAAUGGGAAGGCCCACACUUGGUAUGGGAGGCAAAAUCCAAAAGGCUCCUAGCCUGGACAGAAUAAAAGGGAAAGGGAGGCUCGCUGCUUACCACCUUUUGCCUGCCAUUCCACGCCAUCCUCUUUCCCCUCUGCCAUCCCCCUUUGGAACACCGAAGAUGGACAGAAACCUCUAUAAACCAUGAGCUAAAAUAAACCUU
Long non-coding RNA from Chinchilla lanigera (long-tailed chinchilla), 1044 nucleotides. RefSeq lists it as uncharacterized. The transcript has 3 exons. NCBI's taxonomy places the organism in Eukaryota, Metazoa, Chordata, Mammalia, Rodentia, Chinchillidae. The record is from RefSeq and is a predicted model, not a curated record.